GACGAACCGUGCGAACGUUGUUCGGAUUCACUGGGCUUAAAGGGCGCGUAGGCGGGCGGUCAAGUCAGGGGUGAAAUCUUUCGGCUCAACCGGAAAAGUGCCUUUGAUACUGGCCGUCUCGAGGGAGGUAGGGGCAUGCGGAACUUCCGGUGGAGCGGUGAAAUGCGUAGAUAUCGGAAGGAACGCCGGUGGCGAAAGCGGCGUGCUGGACCUCUUCUGACGCUGAGGCGCGAAAGCCAGGGGAGCAAAC
This 250-nucleotide ribosomal RNA is filed under the name uncultured bacterium. RNAcentral's name for it is "partial 16S ribosomal RNA". It matches the Rfam family "Bacterial small subunit ribosomal RNA", at positions 524 to 773 of the family's 1533-position model. The record is from RNAcentral.